AUGACCUCGGCCCAGAAAAAUGGCCUCGUCAAAGGGUUGGCUUCUGAUCUUAUAAAGGAUGGAGUGGGGAUUUUGCAAUAUGCAGAUGAUACUGUCAUUUGCUUCGAGCAUGAUAUAGAUAAAGUUGUUAAUGUGAAACUAUUGCUUUAUUUGUUUGAACUCAUGUCCGGAUUGAAAAUUAAUUUCGACAAGAGCGAAAUUAUUGUUAUAGGAGGGGAUAAUGAGACUGAUGCAGUAUAUGCUGAGAUGUUUGGGUGUCAGGUGGGUUCUUUACCUAUGAAAUACUUGGGUACACCGAUCUCCUACUCCACUUUGAAGAAUAUAGAGUUGGAUUUCCUGGAUGCUAAGAUGAUAAAAAAACUAGAUGCCUGGAUAGCCUAUGCUGCUUCAUCUGGAGCUAGGCUCACCUUGUUAGGUUCGAGCUUGGAUGGGAUCCCUUCUUGUCUUAUGUGUAUGUUCUUGUUUAACAAGACUUUUAUUGAUAAACUGGAUAAACACCGGAGAAGAUUUUUUUGGAAAAGAAAGAACAAAAAACGUGCUUAUCAUAUGGUGAAAUGGGCUAGGGUUUGCCGGUCCAAAAGAAAAGGUGGGUUGGGGAUCAAGGACCUCCAUAAGCAGCACAUUAGUCUGUUAACUAAGUGGUGGUGA
This 648-nucleotide ribosomal RNA is filed under the name Triticum aestivum (bread wheat). Its description in RNAcentral is "partial small subunit ribosomal RNA". The record is from RNAcentral. Lineage: Eukaryota; Viridiplantae; Streptophyta; Magnoliopsida; Poales; Poaceae.